This 1100-nucleotide ribosomal RNA is filed under the name Enterobacter sp. M425. Its description in RNAcentral is "bacterial SSU rRNA". It matches the Rfam family "Bacterial small subunit ribosomal RNA", at positions 28 to 1119 of the family's 1533-position model. The record is from RNAcentral. RNAcentral also lists the same sequence under 1 other name. Lineage: Bacteria; Pseudomonadati; Pseudomonadota; Gammaproteobacteria; Enterobacterales; Enterobacteriaceae.
AUUGAACGCUGGCGGCAGGCCUAACACAUGCAAGUCGAACGGUAGCACAGAGAGCUUGCUCUCGGGUGACGAGUGGCGGACGGGUGAGUAAUGUCUGGGAAACUGCCUGAUGGAGGGGGAUAACUACUGGAAACGGUAGCUAAUACCGCAUAACGUCGCAAGACCAAAGAGGGGGACCUUCGGGCCUCUUGCCAUCAGAUGUGCCCAGAUGGGAUUAGCUAGUAGGUGGGGUAACGGCUCACCUAGGCGACGAUCCCUAGCUGGUCUGAGAGGAUGACCAGCCACACUGGAACUGAGACACGGUCCAGACUCCUACGGGAGGCAGCAGUGGGGAAUAUUGCACAAUGGGCGCAAGCCUGAUGCAGCCAUGCCGCGUGUAUGAAGAAGGCCUUCGGGUUGUAAAGUACUUUCAGCGGGGAGGAAGGUGUUGCGGUUAAUAACCGCAGCAAUUGACGUUACCCGCAGAAGAAGCACCGGCUAACUCCGUGCCAGCAGCCGCGGUAAUACGGAGGGUGCAAGCGUUAAUCGGAAUUACUGGGCGUAAAGCGCACGCAGGCGGUCUGUCAAGUCGGAUGUGAAAUCCCCGGGCUCAACCUGGGAACUGCAUUCGAAACUGGCAGGCUAGAGUCUUGUAGAGGGGGGUAGAAUUCCAGGUGUAGCGGUGAAAUGCGUAGAGAUCUGGAGGAAUACCGGUGGCGAAGGCGGCCCCCUGGACAAAGACUGACGCUCAGGUGCGAAAGCGUGGGGAGCAAACAGGAUUAGAUACCCUGGUAGUCCACGCCGUAAACGAUGUCGACUUGGAGGUUGUGCCCUUGAGGCGUGGCUUCCGGAGCUAACGCGUUAAGUCGACCGCCUGGGGAGUACGGCCGCAAGGUUAAAACUCAAAUGAAUUGACGGGGGCCCGCACAAGCGGUGGAGCAUGUGGUUUAAUUCGAUGCAACGCGAAGAACCUUACCUACUCUUGACAUCCAGAGAACUUUCCAGAGAUGGAUUGGUGCCUUCGGGAACUCUGAGACAGGUGCUGCAUGGCUGUCGUCAGCUCGUGUUGUGAAAUGUUGGGUUAAGUCCCGCAACGAGCGCAACCCUUAUCCUUUGUUGCC